This 445-nucleotide ribosomal RNA is filed under the name uncultured bacterium. Its description in RNAcentral is "partial 16S ribosomal RNA". It matches the Rfam family "Bacterial small subunit ribosomal RNA", at positions 354 to 796 of the family's 1533-position model. The record is from RNAcentral.
UUGAGGAAUAUUGCGCAAUGGAGGCAACUCUGACGCAGCCAUGCCGCGUGCAGGAAGAAGGCGCUACGCGUUGUAAACUGCUUUUAACCGGGAAGAAACCCCAGGACGUGUCCUGGGUUGACGGUACCGGAGGAAUAAGCACCGGCUAACUUCGUGCCAGCAGCCGCGGUAAUACGAAGGGUGCAAGCGUUAUCCGGAUUCAUUGGGUUUAAAGGGUGCGUAGGCGGAGCGUUAAGUCAGUGGUGAAAUCCUGCAGCUUAACUGUAGACUUGCCAUUGAUACUGGCGCUCUUGAGUGCGCUUGAAGUGGGCGGAAUGUGCCGUGUAGCGGUGAAAUGCUUAGAUAUGGCACAGAACACCAAUUGCGAAGGCAGCUCACUAAGGCGAUACUGACGCUGAGGCACGAAAGCGUGGGGAUCGAACAGGAUUAGAUACCCUAGUAGUCC